Molecule: long non-coding RNA, 608 nt
Organism: Lycium ferocissimum
Lineage: Eukaryota; Viridiplantae; Streptophyta; Magnoliopsida; Solanales; Solanaceae
Exons: 2
Source: RefSeq, a predicted model, not a curated record
UUAUAUUUAUUGUAAUAUUGACUUUGGCUUUGCUAAAGUUAGAUGAGUUGCGCUGUUCUUUUUUCCCUUUUGAAUCAUUGAAUGGUCCGUUUAAUUCAAAUGGUCUAUUAGUUUGGAGAUAAAAUAUGCUCAAUUCUGGCUUACUUUAGGAUAUUUUUUCGAGAAAUAUAAUAUCUUAAUAUAAUAAUCACAAACUACUUAUAUAAAUUGAAAUACUUAAAAGGAUUAAUUUUGAUCAACUUUCUAUUUAGAGGUGAUGAUAGUCCAAUCAAAAAGUAGAUUAUCUCUACUAUUCAAUUAGGUUUCACCUUAAUCUUCUUCUCUAAAAAAAAGGCGCUGUGUUUUUCUUUCAAUUGACAAAUAGGACAUCAAAAAUCAAUACAAAGAUAUCCAUAAACAAUUGACAAAUAGGACAUCAAAACCAACAAAAAUAUGUGAAUUUGUGCCUGAAACUUUGAACUUCUAGUUCUCUCAAUAAAGACAAAUUCUUGCACUGUAAAGUUUUAAUUUUUUAUUAAAAAAUGGUGAAAUGAAAUAAAAAUUCAUCACGACUCCUUUGUCUUAACCAGAAAAUAACAUCUGCGUUUCUAUGCUUGAGUUUUCUAUAA